GCCGAACUCCUCGAAUAUGCAUAAAAAUACAUUCACGUCGAGGAGGGUGCAACCAACCGAUGCCAAUCUGAAGGCAAAGGUUAGAAGAAGAUGAAGAAGGGUGGAAUCUCCAUGGGACCCAACCAAACCCAUGCUAAGAGAGAGGCUCCAUCUCUCUGAUCAAGUCUGAAGCCAAAAAACUUCGACAGCAAGUAUGACUCUUACACCCCUCUUACUACUUCUUGUACGUAGAUCCUCAUGGAGAUAAAAGGAGAGAAUUAUCUCCGAUGACCCUAGUC
This 278-nucleotide long non-coding RNA is filed under the name Elaeis guineensis (African oil palm). RNAcentral's name for it is "long non-coding RNA (EGUI_LNC027378)". Lineage: Eukaryota; Viridiplantae; Streptophyta; Magnoliopsida; Arecales; Arecaceae. The record is from RNAcentral.